CCGGAACAUGCCGGAAGCCCAGCGCCACGCGCAAAGCCCGCCCCGGGGAAGGAAGUGGGCGAGCCAGUGCUGGAGGAUAAAUGGAGGCGCGCGCGGUGGGAGGGAGGGGCUUGGGCACUGGCCGUGCCCGUCGUCACCGCUCGGCGGAAGGGUUAACGGGUGCGGCUGGGGCUUCGCGCUGCGGUCCCGCAAGUCCCGGGAGAGUCACGUUCAGCGACGGCUCCUCCCUUUUGACGAGGGAAAUAAGAAUCCGUCUAAAGCCAGGCUGCAAGAUGCUCAAAAUUUUUGGCAUUCAGACAGCUUCCUUAGCUAGCAAGCAACCCGGAAAUAGUGCUGCAUCAUCAAGCAAGUGUGCAUCUUUUUUCAGUGUACCUUGUGUCAUAGCAACUGCUACCAAGGCAGAUAAAGAAUGA
Molecule: long non-coding RNA, 413 nt
Filed under: Apteryx owenii (little spotted kiwi)
Lineage: Eukaryota; Metazoa; Chordata; Aves; Apterygiformes; Apterygidae
Description: lncRNA (ENSAOWG00000015535.1)
Source: RNAcentral